This 194-nucleotide ribosomal RNA is filed under the name uncultured bacterium. RNAcentral describes it as "partial 16S ribosomal RNA". It matches the Rfam family "Bacterial small subunit ribosomal RNA", at positions 323 to 520 of the family's 1533-position model. The record is from RNAcentral.
GGCACGGGGGGCCUACGGGAGGCAGCAGUAGGGAAUUUUGCGCAAUGGGGGAAACCCUGACGCAGCAACGCCAUGUGUGGGAUGAAGCAUUUCGGUGUGUAAACCACUGUCAGCGGGGAAUAAACGGCAGCUUCGGGCUGCUUUGAAUGUACCCGCAAAGGAAGCCCCGGCUAACUUCGUGCCAGCACCCGCGG